Molecule: ribosomal RNA, 292 nt
Filed under: uncultured bacterium
Lineage: Bacteria
Description: partial 16S ribosomal RNA
Source: RNAcentral
GGACUACCGGGGUAUCUAAUCCCGUUUGCUCCCCCAGCUUUCGCGCCUCAGCGUCAAGUGGGCCCCAGGAGACCGCCUUCGCCACUGGUGUUCCUACCGAUCUCUACGCAUUUCACCGCUACACCGGUAAUUCCAUCUCCCCCUAGCCACUUCAAGACUGGCAGUAUCCACCGACCCUCCGGAGUUGAGCUCCGGGCUUUCACAGCAGACUUGCCAACCCGCCUACGCGCGCUUUACGCCCAGUAACUUCGGACAACGCUCGCCCCCUACGUAUUACCGCGGCUGCUGGCAC